GGGAACUGCGUUCUGAACUGGGUGACUAGAGUGUNUCAGAGGGAGGUAGAAUUCCACGUGUAGCAGUGAAAUGCGUAGAGAUGUGGAGGAAUACCGAUGGCGAAGGCAGCCUCCUGGGAUAACACUGACGUUCAUGCUCGAAAGCGUGGGUAGCAAACAGGAUUAGAUACCCUGGUAGUNCACGCCCUAAACGAUGUCAAUUAGCUGUUGGGCAACUUGAUUGUUCAGUAGCGUAGUUAACGCGUGAAAUUGACCGCCUGGGGAGUACGGUCGCAAGAUUAAAACUCAAAGGAAUUGACGGGGACCCGCACAAGCGGUGGAUGAUGUGGAUUAAUUCGAUGCAACGCGAAGAACCUUACCUGGUCUUGACAUGUACGGAAUCCUCCAGAGACGGAGGAGUGCCUUCGGGAACCGUAACACAGGUGCUGCAUGGCUGUCGUCAGCUCGUGUCGUGAGAUGUUGGGUUAAGUCCCGCAACGAGCGCAACCCUUGUCAUUAGUUGCCAUCAUUCAGUUGGGCACUCUAAUGAGACUGCCGGUGACAAGCCGGAGGAAGGUGGGGAUGACGUCAAGUCCUCAUGGCCCUUAUGACCAGGGCUUCACACGUCAUACAAUGGUCGGUACAGAGGGUAGCCAAGCCGCGAGGUGGAGCCAAUCUCACAAAACCGAUCGUAGUCCGGAUUGCACUCUGCAACUCGAGUGCAUGAAGUCGGAAUCGCUAGUAAUCGCAGGUCAGCAUACUGCGGUGAAUACGUUCCCGGGUCUUGUACACAC
RNAcentral lists this ribosomal RNA (773 nucleotides) under uncultured bacterium. RNAcentral's name for it is "bacterial SSU rRNA". It matches the Rfam family "Bacterial small subunit ribosomal RNA", at positions 616 to 1390 of the family's 1533-position model. The record is from RNAcentral.